UCGGAGCUGCGGAGGCGGGAGCGCGGCCCGAGCUGCUCUCGUUCUGCUUCAGGACCCCUGAAAUGUCAGAGGUCGCGUGCAUGUGUACAUGUUAAUUAGGGCUCACAUUUAGUGAGUGUUCAGUCCUGGCCAGUCACUGCUCUGAGUGCUUUCAUGGAAGAAAGUGCGAUCCUUACAACAACCCUUCCAGAGUGGCUGUGCUGUUUUGCAUUCCCACGGCAAUGAAUGAGAAUUGCUGUUUGUAUACAACCCUGCCAGUGUUUGGA
Long non-coding RNA from Herpailurus yagouaroundi (jaguarundi), 266 nucleotides. RefSeq lists it as uncharacterized. The transcript is spliced from 3 exons. The record is from RefSeq and is a predicted model, not a curated record. NCBI's taxonomy places the organism in Eukaryota, Metazoa, Chordata, Mammalia, Carnivora, Felidae.